GUGGGGAAUAUUGCACAAUGGGCGCAAGCCUGAUGCAGCCAUGCCGCGUGUAUGAAGAAGGCCUUCGGGUUGUAAAGUACUUUCAGCGGGGAGGAAGGCGAUAAGGUUAAUAACCUUGUCGAUUGACGUUACCCGCAGAAGAAGCACCGGCUAACUCCGUGCCAGCAGCCGCGGUAAUACGGAGGGUGCAAGCGUUAAUCGGAAUUACUGGGCGUAAAGCGCACGCAGGCGGUCUGUCAAGUCGGAUGUGAAAUCCCCGAGCUCAACCUGGGGACUGCAUUCGAAACUGGCAGGCUAGAGUCUUGUAGAGGGGGGUAGAAUUCCAGGUGUAGCGGUGAAAUGCGUAGAGAUCUGGAGGAAUACCGGUGGCGAAGGCGGCCCCCUGGACAAAGACUGACGCUCAGGUGCGAAAGCGUGGGGAGCAAACAGGAUUAGAUACCCGGGUAGUCC
RNAcentral lists this ribosomal RNA (450 nucleotides) under uncultured bacterium. RNAcentral's name for it is "partial 16S ribosomal RNA". It matches the Rfam family "Bacterial small subunit ribosomal RNA", at positions 354 to 796 of the family's 1533-position model. The record is from RNAcentral.